Patella vulgata (common limpet) is the source of this 2665-nucleotide RNA transcript. RefSeq lists it as uncharacterized. The transcript has 4 exons. The record is from RefSeq and is a predicted model, not a curated record. Lineage: Eukaryota; Metazoa; Mollusca; Gastropoda; Patellidae.
CUGAGAAUAUCGGAUUUACACCAACAGGUUCUAAUAUAACAGUGAUAGAAAAUGAAAGUAGAUCUGUAAACUGUUCAGCUGACUGUAAUCCACCACCGUGUAAUAUUAACUGGUAUAAAGGAGCUGAUACUAGUGGUAGUAUUUUAACAUCAUCUAGUAAUGGUCUUCUACAACUAAACAACAUCCAGAGACAAGAUACAGCUUAUACAUGUCACGCUCAACAAAGAACCAUAACAACAACCCCACUCACUAAAUCACUACAGAUAACAGUUUAUUAUGGACCAGAGAAUAUCAGAUUUACACCAACCAGUUCUAGUAUAACAGUGAUAGAAAAUGAAAGUAGAUCUGUAACCUGUUCAGCUGACUGUAAUUCACCGUGUAAUAUCAGCUGGUUUAAAGGUUCAACUAUGAUAUCAUCUACUGACUUUCUCUUACUGAGCAACAUCCAGAGACAACACGCUGGUAAUUACACCUGUCAGGUUACAAAUACACAAAUACCUGAUUCACUUCAAUCUAAACAACUAAUGGUUAUAGUACAUUAUACUGAGGUAAAUGGAUGUAAUAACAUGCUAGGUGCUGGUAUAGCUAUUGGUCUGGUAAUCAGUCUUCUUAUAGUUGGUAUUGCGGCAGCGUUAGCUUGGGUGAUUCUGAAGAGAAAUGGGAAGAGAUUUUGUAUAAAAUCCGUAAGAGCAGUAGAUAAUGGUACAACCAGUCGAGGGUUGGACAACAACACGAUGUCUGAUACUCGACGUGUUACAGCCAAUCAAGGGCUAGUCAAUAACAAUUUUUCUGAUACGCGUCCAGUCGUCACAAAUACCAGAGAUGCCGUUAACCUCGACCAUAUCAACACAUCCAGAACAUCAUCAACAUAUGAUCAUCCAGAUUCUGAAGAUUAUUUAACUCCAGUGAACACAUACGAGGAGCUGGAUAAACACACUAUGGGUCAACAACCCAAUACCUAUCAAGAACUCAGUGCUUAUCAAAAUUUAACAGGAGGUGGGAAAUGAAGCGCAAAGACUCCCACUAGUGUAGUUUUAAAGAUACAUUAGUUAAGAGUUUUAUAAAAAGUUGGCCAUUCCUGCUAUAAUAAUUCAAAAAUAGAUGAUAAAAAAAGAAAAUUUUGAAAAUUUCAUUCAAAUUACUAACAUCAAUUAGGCAUCAAUUGUGUCUGCACCGUCUAUGAGAAUUGGCGAUCCUUUGAUUAACAGACGAUAACUCCACCCACAUAUUCUCGAUUAUCAAGUAACAUGCUUAAUGGCCAUGGUAGCCUCGCUUGGCAGGCCUUUCAUCACCAGAUUGCGGUAGUGACAUCAACGACUAACGGUAAACUUUAGCUUGGUCCGCCAUUUAUUGAUUUAAUUUUAAAUGGACGACUUUAAAUCCAAACUGUAUCCAAACCAUCCGUGGGUCUACAGAGUUGAUUUUGAGCUUGUCGUGUAAAUAAAGGUCAAAUUAAUAAUUUCUAUGACAUCUGAAGCCUAAAUAAGGACUUGCAAUAGGAAGAUUUAGCUCUUGCAUAAUGUAUGUUUAACUAACAUAACUAUGUAUAUACUGCAAAAACAUAAUAAACUAAAAUUCGCUUGGGGAAAUAAUAGAAACUAAAAUCAUGACGGGUGUUUCAUAGUGUCCUGAUUUGGCCAGAACGGAACGUUAUGCUCCAGAAAAAAAACCAACACUAACACGUUGUUUUAUUAUAGAUAAAAUUGGCAAUAAAUGUAAUGCAAACUGUUAUACUAGAAUUUUUGUAAUGGAAUACGGUUGAUAUCAUAUGAUUUUACAUAUUUAUUAAUUCUGUUAGUCUGUCAACAAUUGGAGAGAGAGAGAGAGAGAAAUGGGGUUUAACGUCCACUCGACACAAACUAGGUCAUUUCGGGACUAACAUAUGGUUUAAUUUUAUUUACAUAAUUCGCUUGCGCGUAGGGGUCUUUAGCAGUGGGAGGAAACCGGAGGACCCGGAGAAAACCCACGAGGUUGGACAGGCGACCCUACUCCUUGCCACGUACAACCGGGGAUUCCAAACCACGCCAGUCGACUCAAUGACAGACUUUAUGAUACAGCGCGCGCACGUUAACCAUUCAGCCAUCCAACCCCCCCCCCCCCACCCCCCGUCAACAAUUGGCUUUUCCAAUUUGGUCUUAAGCAUUGUGGUCAUUUGAGGACGAACCCUAUCAAUAUUCAGUUAUGUCCCCUUUUCCUAUAUGGGCUAUAUAUUUUAACAAAGUGUUUUCAAAUUGUUUGGGAAGCAUCGAACAAUCGGAAGUGACGUACGCAAAAGGAAAACACGAGUUAUCCCUCAAUAUAACUGACUGAAGUGACGAGUGAUAACAGAUACAUGGGCGAAUUUCUGCUCACUAAUAAUUCUUUCGAAGACCAAAAUUUGUUAUUUGAGACUGUAAGAGUAUAUCUGACAAUCCAUAAAAGUAAUUGGAUGUCAUUAGAUAAGAGAACACGAGAAAAAUAGAAACCAUUAACAGUGAACAUUAAAACCUAUAAAAUGACAUAUUACACGGGACAUUUCGUCAACACUGUUUGUCAAGCUCAAUCUCAGCGCCACUAAUUAUGGAUUAACCUUUUCAGAAACAUUCAACUCCAAGGGCUUUUAUUUAUGUUUUUUGUAUAAAAUAGUUUUUCGCGUGUUAGUUUCAAUACUUCAUCUAUGAAUACU